Oryza sativa Japonica Group (Japanese rice) is the source of this 584-nucleotide long non-coding RNA. RefSeq lists it as uncharacterized. The record is from RefSeq and is a predicted model, not a curated record. NCBI's taxonomy places the organism in Eukaryota, Viridiplantae, Streptophyta, Magnoliopsida, Poales, Poaceae.
GAAAAAGAAAAGGAAAGGCAAAAUGGAGGGGGAGCAGCUUCUUGUGUUUGUCGCCGGUAGCGGCCGGCUAAGAGCAGGAGGAGGAGCUAACGGAGGCCGCCGAGGAAGACGCUGGCCUCGGAGCGGGAGGAGCUAACGGAGGCCGCCGAGGAAGACGCUGGCCUCGGAGCGGACGGGCAUCCGGCGGCUGCGAGCUUUGCGGCCGGCAUAUCCAGCGAGGGAGGCGAUUGCGACGAAUCGGCCGGGAGGCGCCGGAUCUGGUGGCUUCGUCACCGCAGAUGGCCGGCCGAGCUCAGGACGACUCGGGCGCCAUGUCGAGAGACGUGGUCGACAGCGAGAAGCGGGCCUGACUCGCGAGCAUGACGCCAUCCCACCAUGCUGCAACACAAUCAACACCGGUCCAAAGAAACAGAGAAGAUACAUGCCUCCAUGAGGCCUGAGCAAGAUACAAUGACAUUCCGAUACAAUGACAUUCCUUCACAGCUUUCCAAUUAAAAUAUCUCCAGAUUGUUGCUUCCUACAUACUAAACAUAAGAAUGCAAUGAUAGUAUGAAGAAUAAAAUAUUAAGUCAAUUUUUGAUCAA